GAGCUUACCAUGCAAGUCGAACGGUAACAGGCCUUCGGGCGCUGACGAGUGGCGGACGGGUGAGUAACGCGUAGGAAUCUGCCUCAUAGUGGGGGACAACGUGGGGAAACUCACGCUAAUACCGCAUACGCCCUACGGGGGAAAGCGGGGGAUCUUCGGACCUCGCGCUAUGAGAUGAGCCUGCGUUAGAUUAGCUAGUUGGUAGGGUAAAGGCCUACCAAGGCGACGAUCUAUAGCUGGUCUGAGAGGACGAUCAGCCACACUGGGACUGAGACACGGCCCAGACUCCUACGGGAGGCAGCAGUGGGGAAUAUUGGACAAUGGGCGCAAGCCUGAUCCAGCAAUACCGCGUGUGUGAAGAAGGCCCUAGGGUUGUAAAGCACUUUCAAUGGGGAGGAAAACCUGCCGGUCAAUACCCGGCAGCUUGACAUUACCUAUAGAAGAAGCACCGGCUAACUCCGUGCCAGCAGCCGCGGUAAUACGGAGGGUGCAAGCGUUAAUCGGAAUUACUGGGCGUAAAGCGUGCGUAGGCGGUUCGUUAAGUCAGAUGUGAAAGCCCCGGGCUUAACCUGGGAACUGCAUUUGAAACUGGCGGACUUGAGUUGAGUAGAGGGGAGUGGAAUUUCAGGUGUAGCGGUGAAAUGCGUAGAUAUCUGAAGGAACACCAGUGGCGAAGGCGACUCCCUGGACCCAAACUGACGCUGAGGUACGAAAGCGUGGGUAGCAAACAGGAUUAGAUACCCUGGUAGUCCACGCUGUAAACGAUGUCAACUAGCCGUUGGUUCUAUAUACAGAAUUAGUGGCGCAGCUA
RNAcentral lists this ribosomal RNA (811 nucleotides) under uncultured bacterium. RNAcentral's name for it is "bacterial SSU rRNA". It matches the Rfam family "Bacterial small subunit ribosomal RNA", at positions 44 to 854 of the family's 1533-position model. The record is from RNAcentral.